UACGAAGGGGGCUAGCGUUGUUCGGAAUUACUGGGCGUAAAGGGCGCGUAGGCGGCCCGAUCAGUCAGAUGUGAAAGCCCCGGGCUCAACCUGGGAACUGCAUUUGAUACUGUCGGGCUUGAGUUCCGGAGAGGAUGGUGGAAUUCCCAGUGUAGAGGUGAAAUUCGUAGAUAUUGGGAAGAACACCGGUGGCGAAGGCGGCCAUCUGGACGGACACUGACACUGAGGCGCGAAAGCGUGGGGAGCAAACAGG
RNAcentral lists this ribosomal RNA (253 nucleotides) under uncultured bacterium. RNAcentral's name for it is "partial 16S ribosomal RNA". It matches the Rfam family "Bacterial small subunit ribosomal RNA", at positions 524 to 776 of the family's 1533-position model. The record is from RNAcentral.